RNAcentral lists this long non-coding RNA (2760 nucleotides) under Pelobates cultripes (western spadefoot toad). Lineage: Eukaryota; Metazoa; Chordata; Amphibia; Anura; Pelobatidae. The record is from RNAcentral.
GGUCAAACCCGAAGUGGAAGUUGCGGCCGCCAUCUUGAUCCUGCAGCAGCUCCAAAAGUUGCGGUUCUACCUCUGGGACCCUCAGGAGGCUCUCAAGGUAAGAUUGAUGGCUUCCCACACUCCCUUAGCUAGGAGGUAAAAAGGACCUUCGGAUAAUCAUCUAGUCCAUGCUGCUAUGGGUAAUGAGAGUAGGAGUCUUCUCACGGUGGAUUCUCUGUUAAUAAAAGGAGACUCAAACCAGUUAGUGCUGCCAAUGCAGCCUAUUUACUAGUUUCUUCAGGGGUAGAGAGGCAGAACUCCCCCUGGAAGAACCAUGUUAAACAUGGUAGUAGCUCAGAAUAAAAAACAUUUUAAAGGGAUCCCCAAAAAAUCCCUGUCAGCUGGGACAGGAAAAAAAGACUGGAGGGUCUAGAGAGGAGGGGACUUUUAUGGCAACGUUUGUUUAAUUAUUUCUGUCCUGACAGCUGGGGAGGAGGAACUUACCCAUGUGAUGCUGCCGUGUGUGGCCCAGGAAAAGGAUAUAUACUUCUAAUCCAUAUAGCUUGGGUGGUAUGUUCUCCACCAACAUAUCAGAAUCCUCUGGAUAAAAUCUUCUGGAUAAAAUCAGGAAGGUUCAAAUAUGGUUAAAAAUAGUAAUUUGUUGAACAAAACAAACAUAAAAAGGCUAAUACACGGUGCUUUGCCAAGAAAAAUACAGGCUUUUUGAACAACAUGAUGGUCCUCUGGAGUGAAAAUUGUCCUAUCAAUUGUCUCACAGCCUACAUCCAGCUCGUCACCAGUUCCAAGUGACAGCAUGGCAAAUGAGAGGAAGUGUCUGACUAAAACAUUUGUCAAUACCUCGUUGCAAUUCAGGAAACUAUACAUGUCUUUGCUCUACUAUUUCAUUAUGUUUGUUAUGACUAGGAACUUCAUGAUCUUUUUCUUGUUUUCUAAUGGUGGAUUAGCUAGGGUCUGAUCAUUAAUACCUGCAAAGGGCCCAUUCCAGUAUCACCUUCAAAUAUUACAUGGGAAUUGGAGAAAGAUGUCAUGUGAUCAGGGAAGUUUAUAGAUCUAGCGUUCUGUAAAGAUUUGUUCUCAACCUUGGGUAUUCAUCUAGUAAUUUUCUGCUUUGGGAUUAUAUUAAUCAAACUACUUUGAAAGAAAUUGUAUUGCUGCUGACCCUUACAAAUGUCUUAGAUACCUUGACAUCAGGUUUCAGGAUUUUGGAACUAUGGUCUCUUUCCUGUGAAGAUUCUUACUCUUGUUUUCCAUUCUGACAGUGGUUCUGUGAGGCCCACUACUAAAACUGACACUUCUCAUCAAAACACACUACCCAAACCUCAAGGUAUAACAAUAGGACUUGUACCAACCAAGUUCCAAAGCACCAUACUAAGAUUGACGCCCCCAUGUCUAAAACCAGAACCGUUACCCAUAAUGAUGCACCAGCUACUUAUCAUUGAAGGGUAUUCAGAUGCUUGUGUCGAAAUCAUUAUCCACCUACUCGGAUUGACGCAGCUAGUCAAACUUUAUGCUAGCUAAAUCUUUUCGCAGUUUUUCUAAAAAUAGGUCACAACUGCGUUAUUCUUCCCACUCUGGAACUUGUAACCAUGACAUCCUCAUUAAUUGUAGAACACGUGACAGACCGCCUGGCACUGGGACUAGGUACCUGCAUCAAUAGCUGCUUCCUAGUAAUCCUUGAGUACCAUAAGCAUUGCACCGGACACCAUAACCAUCUUAAACCGCUGCAGCUUGGUUUGGGGUCUCGCUGUCCUUCACCCACCCUGGACACAAGACCAGGAUCCAGCUUCUAGUGGGUAGAUCUCUCCUUGUCCAGAGAGCAAAGCAGGCUGCUCUUACAAGAGGAAUCGUUGUAUAGUGAUUACAGCAAUCCCCAGAGUGAAUAUAACUCUCCAAUCCCCCAAACAUGAACCUAGACUUCAUGAAGGGUUAAACUAAUGUCAGCCACAACUGUCCUUAUUUGCAGGUCCCCAUGCAAGGGGGACUCCCCCUGGACCUAAGAGUAGACUACAGUAAAAACAUACGAUUACAUUGGCUCUUAGGUCCAGGACACUCCCAUACAAAAUAGAUCAAACCCUCCCCUGUGCCUUGGAGAUAAUUGAGUCAGCACUGUAUUAAACUCCAUUAUCUCCAGGCACAGAAUACAUACACUUAUACAAAACCCCAAAAAUACAUUUAAACACACAAAGGGUUACAAUCUCCUGAUAGCCUGAUUUUUGGAUAUGUUGGUCACCCAGAUCGGUUCAGGAAUUUCCUGGAAGUCAUAAUUUGACAGACCGCAUGCAUGGUCCCAUGCCGAAAAUAGUGCUAAGUGCCGCUGGGGACCGACCAGGAACCACAAAGUCUUUAUGCCGAAAAUAGUUCCAAUGCAUUAAUCCAGACCAUUAUGUGACUUUGUUCACAGACUGGAAUCAUACAGGGAUAAAAUGGUUCUCCUCCCACUGAACAUGAACACCUUAUCCCCAAGUGCUGGCAUAUAACUGGAAAAUAAACUACAGGUAGGUGUUAUUAUUUCCCCCCCCUCUAGUUCACAAAGAUAGGUAGUUGCAUACAGCCUGGGUUAAAGGAGAUAAACUAGGUGUGGUGUAUAUUGAACCCAAUUGUUCAAUACUUUAAUCACGAGUGACUGCAAAAUUUGCAAUUUUUUCCUAGUCUUCGUAUUUUCUUUUGAAAGUCUUAAAGGGACACUGUAGGCAGCCAGACCACUUCAGCUCAUUGAAGUGGUCUGGGUGCAAUGACCCCUGUCCCUUAACCCUGCAAUAG